ACGAACGCUGGCGGCGUGCUUAACACCUGCAAGUCGAACGCUGAAGCUCAGCUUUUGUUGGGUGGAUGUGUGGCGAACGGGUGAGUAACACGUGAGUAACCUGCCCCCUUCUUUGGGAUAACGCCCGGAAACGGGUGCUAAUACUGGAUAUUCACUGGUCUUCGCAUGGGGGUUGGUGGAAAGGGUUUUUCUGGUGGGGGAUGGGCUCGCGGCCUAUCAGCUUGUUGGUGGGGUGAUGGCCUACCAAGGCUUUGACGGGUAGCCGGCCUGAGAGGGUGACCGGUCAGAGUGGGAGUGAGAUAAGGCCCAGACUGAUACGGGAGGCAGAAGUGGGGAAUAUUGCACAAUGGGGGAAAGCCUGAUGCAGCGAAGAGGCGUGAGGGAUGGAGGCCUUCGGGUUGUGAACCUCUUUCGCUCAUGGUCAAGCCGCAACAAUGGUUGUGGUGAGGGUAGUGGGUAAAGAAGCGCCGGCUAACUACGUG
This 482-nucleotide ribosomal RNA is filed under the name uncultured bacterium. RNAcentral's name for it is "partial 16S ribosomal RNA". It matches the Rfam family "Bacterial small subunit ribosomal RNA", at positions 29 to 507 of the family's 1533-position model. The record is from RNAcentral.